RNAcentral lists this ribosomal RNA (692 nucleotides) under uncultured Acidobacteriota bacterium. RNAcentral describes it as "bacterial SSU rRNA". It matches the Rfam family "Bacterial small subunit ribosomal RNA", at positions 61 to 755 of the family's 1533-position model. The record is from RNAcentral. Lineage: Bacteria; Pseudomonadati; Acidobacteriota.
GUCGAGUGCGCGUCUGUAGCAAUACAGAUGGCGCACGGCGCACGGGUGCGUAACACGUGGGUAAUCUGCCCUUCGAUGGGGAAUAACCUCGCGAAAGCGAGGCUAAUUCCGCAUAACAUUCCUAAGACUUCGGUCCCUGGACUCAAAGCCGUAAGGCGUCGAUGGAGGAACCCGCGCACGAUUAGCUAGUUGGUGAGGUAACGGCUCACCAAGGCUUUGAUCGUUAGCUGGUCUGAGAGGAUGGCCAGCCACACUGGAACUGAGACACGGUCCAGACUCCUACGGGAGGCAGCAGUGGGGAAUCUUGCACAAUGGGCGAAAGCCUGAUGCAGCGACGCCGCGUGGGGGAUGAAGCAUUUCGGUGUGUAAACCCCUUUCGACCGGGAAGAAUACCUAGCAAUAGGGGUGACGGUACCGGUAGAAGAAGCCCCGGCUAACUACGUGCCAGCAGCCGCGGUAAGACGUAGGGGGCCAGCGUUGUUCGGAAUUACUGGGUGUAAAGGGUUCGUAGGCGGUGUGGCAAGUUGGGAGUGAAAUCUCUGGGCUUAACCCAGAGGCUGCUUCCAAAACUGCUGUGCUUGAGUGUGGGAGAGGUGCGUGGAAUUGCAGGUGUAGCGGUGAAAUGCGUAGAUAUCUGCAGGAACACCCGUGGCGAAAGCGGCGCACUGGACCACAACUGACGCUGAGGAACG